Schistosoma mattheei is the source of this 45-nucleotide non-coding RNA. Lineage: Eukaryota; Metazoa; Platyhelminthes; Trematoda; Strigeidida; Schistosomatidae. The record is from Rfam.
AUCCAGCUGACGAGUCUGGAAUAGGACGAAACGCGCGUCCUGGAU